Molecule: ribosomal RNA, 1283 nt
Filed under: Margattea nimbata
Lineage: Eukaryota; Metazoa; Arthropoda; Insecta; Blattodea; Pseudophyllodromiidae
Description: 16S ribosomal RNA
Rfam family: Bacterial large subunit ribosomal RNA (bases 1042-1201)
Source: RNAcentral
AUAUAGAAUAUUUUAUUUUUGUUAAUUGUGAUUAUAAAUAUAUUUUUGUUGUUGUAUUUAAGGAUAAAAUUUUUUUAUUAUAGUUAAUUAGUACUGUAAAGGAUGAAUUUGGUUAUAAUGUUUUUGGAAGUUGAUUUAUUUUAUUGUACCUUGUGUAUCAGGGUUUAUUAAAAUUGGUAUAUGAAUUAUGUGUUUCUCGAUAUUUAAAGAGCUAAUUGAUUAUUAUAAUUGUUGUAAUAUAAUUAUUGUUAAUAUUUAAUUGGUGGUGAGAUGUUAAUCGGUUUAAAAUAUAUCUAGUUUUCUUGGAAAUAAAUUUAAUUUAUGUUUUGAUUGUAAGAAACUAAUUUAUUAGUUUUUUUUAGUUGAAGCAGAUAUUUAGGGGGAUAAUCUCUUGAGUAUAUUUAUAUAAUUAAUUAAUUGUAUAUUAAUAGUGUGGAUUUAGUGUUGAUUAUCAAUAGGAGGAUAUAAAAGUUUAAAUUUUAUUAUUUUGUAAUUUUUUUUUUUAAUUUAUUUUGUUUAUUUGAAUUAAGAUGAAAUUUAAUAAUUAAUGUAAUUAUGAUGAAAUUAGUAAAUUAUUAUUUAUAUUGACUGGUUGAUUAUUUGGUAAUUAUAUUUAAGGAAUUCGGCAAUAUUUAUAUUCGCCUGUUUAACAAAAACAUCUUUUUUUGUAUUGGUUUGAAGAUAUGACCUGCCCACUGAUAAGUUUAAAGGGCCGCGGUAUUUUGACCGUGCAAAGGUAGCAUAAUCAUUAGUUUUUUAAUUGAAGGCUGGAAUGAAUGGUUGGACGAGAUAUACACUGUCUUAAAUUAUAUUGGUAAUUGAAUUUAAAUUUUAAGUAAGAAUGCUUAAAUUUUUUUAUGGGACGAGAAGACCCUAUAGAAUUUAAUAUUAUGUUUAUGUUGAUUGUUUGUAAAUAAUAAUGUAUAAUGUAAUAUUUGGUUGGGGUGAUUAUAAAAUAUGAAAAACUUUUUGUUUAUGUAUACAUGUAUUAAUGGUUAUGAGAUCCAUUAUUUAGUGAUUAUAAGUUUAAAUUACCUUAGGGAUAACAGCGUAAUUUUUUUUAAGAGUUCUUAUUGACAAGAAAGAUUGCGACCUCGAUGUUGAAUUAAGAUAAAUUUUGGGUGUAGAAGCUGAAAUAAUUAGGUCUGUUCGACCUUUAAAAUCUUACAUGAUUUGAGUUCAAACCGGCGUGAGCCAGGUUGGUUUCUAUCUAUAAAUAUAAUAAAUUUCUUAGUACGAGAGGACCAGAAAUUGAAAAUAAUUUUUGAGAAUUAAUUUAUUAU